This 195-nucleotide non-coding RNA is filed under the name Pilibacter termitis. Its description in RNAcentral is "T-box sequence". It matches the Rfam family "T-box leader". From Rfam's summary of the family: Uncharged tRNA acts as the effector for transcription antitermination of genes in the T-box leader family. Lineage: Bacteria; Bacillati; Bacillota; Bacilli; Lactobacillales; Enterococcaceae. The record is from RNAcentral.
AAGAAAACGUGAAAAAGAGUAGUACCCAUAAUUUUCUAUUUUAGAGAGAGGAGCGUUGCUGGGAGCUUCUUAUGGAAAUGUGGCGAAUUCGCUUUUGGAGUGGGGUUUGACCUCGGUGGAGACCGUUACACUUAUUGAGAGAUUGGCAAAUUUGCCGAUAAUCUAGGAUGGUACCGCGAGACAAUCGUUCCUUUU